AGAACGAACGCUGGCGGCAGGCUUAACACAUGCAAGUCGAACGCUCGUAGCAAUACGGGAGUGGCAGACGGGUGAGUAACGCGUGGGAACAUACCCUCCGGUUCGGAAUAGCUCAGGGAAACUUGGAUUAAUACCGGAUACGGCUGAGAGGCGAAAGAUUUAUCGCCGGAGGAUUGGCCCGCGUUCGAUUAGCUUGUUGGUGAGGUAAUGGCUCACCAAGGCGAUGAUCGAUAGCUGGUCUGAGAGGAUGAUCAGCCACAUUGGGACUGAGACACGGCCCAAACUCCUACGGGAGGCAGCAGUGGGGAAUAUUGGACAAUGGGCGCAAGCCUGAUCCAGCCAUGCCGCGUGAGUGAUGACGGCCUUAGGGUUGUAAAGCUCUUUCGCCCGCGACGAUGAUGACGGUACCCGCAGAAGAAGCCCCGGCUAACUUCGUGCCAGCAGCCGC
RNAcentral lists this ribosomal RNA (448 nucleotides) under uncultured bacterium. Its description in RNAcentral is "SSU rRNA". It matches the Rfam family "Bacterial small subunit ribosomal RNA", at positions 26 to 518 of the family's 1533-position model. The record is from RNAcentral.